GCUGGGUGUGAUGGCACACACCUGUAAUCCCAGCUACUUGGGAGGCUGAGGUGGGAGAAUUGCUUGAAUCCGGGAGACAGAGGCUGCAGUGAGCCAAGAUCACGCCACUGCACUCCAGCCUGGGUGACAGAGCGAGACUCCGUCUCAA
RNAcentral lists this non-coding RNA (148 nucleotides) under Pan paniscus (pygmy chimpanzee). Lineage: Eukaryota; Metazoa; Chordata; Mammalia; Primates; Hominidae. RNAcentral also lists the same sequence under 1 other name. The record is from Rfam by way of RNAcentral.